RNAcentral lists this ribosomal RNA (382 nucleotides) under uncultured eukaryote. RNAcentral's name for it is "partial 18S ribosomal RNA". It matches the Rfam family "Eukaryotic small subunit ribosomal RNA", at positions 592 to 976 of the family's 1831-position model. The record is from RNAcentral.
UGUAAGCGUAUACCAAAGUUGUUGCAGUUAAAACGCUCGUAGUCGGAAUUUGGCAGUUCCGGAUGUGUGCACGUCGUGUGCGCACUUCGCGGGGAUUGCUUUUGUGGUCUUGCGUAGGAUGAGGCACUUUUAUUAGUGAACGUCCUCACGCAACCACUUUUUACUGUGAGAAAAUCAGAGUGCUCAAAGCAGGCAUUUGCCGUGAAUGUAUUAGCAUGGAAUAAUAGAAUAGGACUUGGUUCUAUUUUGUUGGUUUGUUGGGACUGAGUAAUGAUUAAGAGGGACAGUUGGGGGCAUUUGUAUUUCGGUGCUAGAGGUGAAAUUCUUAGAUUACCGUAAGACAAACUGCUGCGAAAGCGUCUGCCAAGGAUGUUUUCAUUGA